CUGAUCCGCAUGCCGCGUGUGUGAAAAGGCCUUCGGGUUGUAAAGCACUUUUGUCCGGAAAGAAAACCUCGUGGUUAAUACCCGUGGGGGAUGACGGUACCGGAAGAAUAAGCACCGGCUAACUACGUGCCAGCAGCCGCGGUAAUACGUAGGGUGCAAGCGUUAAUCGGAAUUACUGGGCGUAAAGCGUGCGCAGGCGGUUCGCUAAGACAGAUGUGAAAUCCCCGGGCUUAACCUGGGAACUGCAUUUGUGACUGGCGGGCUAGAGUAUGGCAGAGGGGGGUAGAAUUCCACGUGUAGCAGUGAAAUGCGUAGAGAUGUGGAGGAAUACCGAUGGCGAAGGCAGCCCCCUGGGCCAAUACUGACGCUCAUGCACGAAAGCGUGGGGAGCAAACA
This 396-nucleotide ribosomal RNA is filed under the name Burkholderia sp. 3CB3B. RNAcentral describes it as "bacterial SSU rRNA". It matches the Rfam family "Bacterial small subunit ribosomal RNA", at positions 383 to 774 of the family's 1533-position model. Lineage: Bacteria; Pseudomonadati; Pseudomonadota; Betaproteobacteria; Burkholderiales; Burkholderiaceae. The record is from RNAcentral.